CUCUCGAAAGAGAGAGAUCGACGUCGGAUCAUUUCACGUUCAUGAUUAUAACUAGGACAUAAAGAUGGCAGAUAAUUGGAAAAGUUAAAUUUUGAUUUUUUUCUGAAAAACGGGACAAGAGCGCGCGACUCAUCAGUUCGAAGACCUUUCAAAACUGAUGCGCAUUGAAUUAGAUGUAUACGUUCAAAGGUUGUGUUUCUACUUGAAUGAUAAAAAAAAAACAAUGGCUCAACAAAAGUCCAAUUGGUUUUUCAAAAAGUUCAUUUUUCAUGUACCUAUGUGAGCUAAGAGUUUACUUUUGGUGAUUACCCAGUGAUGGCCCCUGAUCUAUUUCCAAUCUCUCUGGAUUGAAAUAAAUUAACAAGAGAUGAGGCAGCGAGUUGAAUGUAUCCAUUGUGUGCGUUAAUAAUAUGGUGUAUCUACUAAAGAAUUUUUUAUGCUGCAUUCCAUUGCGCACUGGCACUCAAAUUGUCAUAUGGAUAACGUGCCUGACGAGGUUGCUACUGGUCUUCACGACGAUAUACCUGGCCACGUCUCUGCUGCGAAGCGAGGCGAAUCAAAUCGUCACGAAUUACCCGCGUCCCUCCAAUAGCUCCUUCUAUUACGAAAUCGGCCACGGAAUUGAUCAGCUACUGUUCUUCACGAAAGGAACAUACAUUCAACGUUAUGUUAUCAUGACAGGUAUCACUGCUUUCUUCCAGGUUAUAGCCUGCGCUCUCGGAAUUUUUGCCUUGGAUAAGGGGCGACCAGAUUAUUUCCUACCAUGGCUCAUAAUGUUCAGUCAAACGUGUAUAACGGAGACAGGAGUCUCUUGCACAAAUCUCGCCAUCAUGAGUGUUUUAGGUCAAUAUCCGGAGUAUUUCAUAGCUGAUGCCAUCUCUGCAGUUUCGCAUGGUGUUUUCUUAGCGUAUUUCAUCUGGGUAGUGUUCAGUUUUUACAAAAAAGAGAAGCUCAAAAGAGGAAGACCAUUGCCAAGGGCACCUCCUUACUACCCGCCAUUUUUGGGAGAGACCAAUCCACCCUAUAACCCGGCUGUUCAAAGUAGAGCCAAAGCCUCAACAUUACCUGCUGGUUUUGACACUCAUUGCGAAUUCACAAAAGAUGGAACUUAG
RNAcentral lists this long non-coding RNA (1112 nucleotides) under Bemisia tabaci. RNAcentral describes it as "lncRNA ENSSSA3NGG011727". Lineage: Eukaryota; Metazoa; Arthropoda; Insecta; Hemiptera; Aleyrodidae. The record is from RNAcentral.